UACAGAGGUCCCGAGCGUUGUUCGGAUUCACUGGGCGUAAAGGGUGCGUAGGUGGUGGGGUAAGUCGGAUGUGAAAGCUCGGAGCUCAACUCCGAAAUGGCAUUGGAAACUACCCUGCUAGAGGAUUGGAGGGGGGACUGGAAUACUUGGUGUAGCAGUGAAAUGCGUAGAUAUCAAGUGGAACACCAGUGGCGAAGGCGAGUCCCUGGACAAUCCCUGACACUGAGGCACGAAAGCUAGGGGAGCAAACAGG
This 253-nucleotide ribosomal RNA is filed under the name uncultured bacterium. RNAcentral describes it as "partial 16S ribosomal RNA". It matches the Rfam family "Bacterial small subunit ribosomal RNA", at positions 524 to 776 of the family's 1533-position model. The record is from RNAcentral.